Molecule: ribosomal RNA, 459 nt
Filed under: uncultured Desulfuromonas sp.
Lineage: Bacteria; Pseudomonadati; Thermodesulfobacteriota; Desulfuromonadia; Desulfuromonadales; Desulfuromonadaceae
Description: bacterial SSU rRNA
Rfam family: Bacterial small subunit ribosomal RNA
Source: RNAcentral
AAGCGGUGGAGCAUGUGGUUUAAUUCGACGCAACGCGCAGAACCUUACCUUGGGCGUUGACAUCCCGAUCGCAUCCCAUGGAAACAUGGGAGUCAGUUCGGCUGGAUCGGUUGACAGGUGCUGCAUGGCUGUCGUCAGCUCGUGUCGUGAGAUGUUGGUUAAGUCCGCAACGAGCGCAACCCUUGUCCUUAGUUGCCAGCAUUCAGUUGGGCACUCUAAGGAGACUGCCGGUGUUAAACCGGAGGAAGGUGGGGAUGACGUCAAGUCCUCAUGGCCCUUAUGUCCAGGGCUACACACGUGCUACAAUGGCCGGUACAAAGGGCUGCAAGACCGUGAGGUUGAGCGAAUCCCAGAAAGCCGGUCUCAGUUCGGAUUGGAGUCUGCAACUCGACUCCAUGAAGUUGGAAUCGCUAGUAAUCGCGGAUCAGCAUGCCGCGGUCGAAUACGUUCCCGGGCCUU